GACGAACGCUGGCGGCGUGCUUAAUACAUGCAAGUCGAACGGAAAGGCCCUGCUCUUGUUGCUCUCUCGAGUGGCGAACGGGUGUGUAACACGCGAGUAUCCUCCCCUUGACUUUGUGAUAACUUCUGGAAACUGGGGAUAUUAUCGGAUAGGAUCUCCUGCUGCAUGGUGGGGGUUGGAAAGUUUCGGCGGUUGGGGAUGGACUCGCUGGUUAUCAGCUUGUUGGGGGGGUAGUUGCUUACCAAGGCUUUGAAGGGUAGCCGGCCUGAGAGGUUGACCGGCGACAAUGGGACUGAGAUACGGCCCAGACGCCUACGGGAGGCAGCAGUCGGGAAUAUUGCACAAUGGGCGCAAGCCUGAUGCAGCAACGCCGCGUGCGGGAUGACGGCCUUCGGGUGGUAAACCGCUGUCGACUGUAACGAAGCGUGAGUGACGGUAAUGAGUAAAGAAGCACCGGCUAACUACGUG
Molecule: ribosomal RNA, 468 nt
Filed under: uncultured bacterium
Lineage: Bacteria
Description: partial 16S ribosomal RNA
Rfam family: Bacterial small subunit ribosomal RNA
Source: RNAcentral